GGGUGCGUAACGCGUGAGCAACUUGCCCGUAUCCGGGACAUAAGCGGUGGAAACGCCGUCUAAUUUCCCAUAACAACAGAGGCCGCAUGACCUUUGUUUGAAAGAUCCGUCGGAUACGGAUGGGCUCGCGAGACAUUAGCUAGUCGGCGUGGUAACGGCACACCGAGGCGACGAUGUCUAGGGGUUCUGAGAGGAAGGUCCCCCACACUGGAACUGAGACACGGUCCAGACUCCUACGGGAGGCAGCAGUGAGGAAUAUUGGUCAAUGGGCGCAAGCCUGAACCAGCCAUGCCGCGUGAAGGAAUAAGGCCCUAUGGGUCGUAAACUUCUUUUGUGGUGGAGCAAUAAGGUGCACGUGUGCAUCGAUGAGAGUACAUCACGAAUAAGCAUCGGCUAACUCCGUGCCAGCAGCCGCGGUAAUACGGAGGAUGCAAGCGUUAUCCGGAUUUAUUGGGUUUAAAGGGUGCGUAGGCUGUUCGACAAGUCAGGGGUGAAAGCCCAGUGCCUAACACUGGAACUGCCUUUGAUACUGCCGAGCUGGAAUACGGAUGCCGUGGGAGGAAUGAGUAGUGUAGCGGUGAAAUGCAUAGAUAUUACUCAGAACACCGAUUGCGAAGGCA
This 620-nucleotide ribosomal RNA is filed under the name uncultured bacterium. RNAcentral describes it as "bacterial SSU rRNA". It matches the Rfam family "Bacterial small subunit ribosomal RNA", at positions 104 to 723 of the family's 1533-position model. The record is from RNAcentral.